UAUUUUGUUCAUAAGCGUGAUGAUUGGGUGUUCAAGCUAUUGCAUGAGAUGUGCUUCCCUCUAAACUUUGUUAUGACAUUGAUACAUUACCUGUCUGAC
Molecule: small nucleolar RNA, 99 nt
Filed under: Marmota monax (woodchuck)
Lineage: Eukaryota; Metazoa; Chordata; Mammalia; Rodentia; Sciuridae
Rfam family: Small nucleolar RNA U13
Source: RNAcentral